AUACGUAGGGUGCGAGCGUUGUCCGGAAUUACUGGGCGUAAAGAGCUCGUAGGUGGUUUGUCGCGUCGUCUGUGAAAUUCCGGGGCUUAACUCCGGGCGUGCAGGCGAUACGGGCAUAACUUGAGUACUGUAGGGGAGACUGGAAUUCCUGGUGUAGCGGUGAAAUGCGCAGAUAUCAGGAGGAACACCGGUGGCGAAGGCGGGUCUCUGGGCAGUAACUGACGCUGAGGAGCGGAAGCAUGGGUAGCGAACAGGAUUAGAUACCCUGGUAGUCCAUGCCGUAAACGGUGGGCGCUAGGUGUAGGGGUCUUCCACGACUUCUGUGCCGUAGCUAACGCAUUAAGCGCCCCGCCUGGGGAGUACGGCCGCAAGGCUAAAACUCAAAUGAAUUGACGGGG
Molecule: ribosomal RNA, 398 nt
Filed under: uncultured bacterium
Lineage: Bacteria
Description: partial 16S ribosomal RNA
Rfam family: Bacterial small subunit ribosomal RNA
Source: RNAcentral